Molecule: ribosomal RNA, 377 nt
Filed under: uncultured Glomus
Lineage: Eukaryota; Fungi; Glomeromycota; Glomeromycetes; Glomerales; Glomeraceae
Description: SSU rRNA
Rfam family: Eukaryotic small subunit ribosomal RNA
Source: RNAcentral
UGAAUUUCGGGGUCAGUGGGCUGGUCGUGCCACUGGUAUGCACUUUGACAGUUGCCAUUCACCUCUUGAUGAGCCGUAAUGCCAUUAAUUUGGUGUUGCGGGGAAUCAGGACUGUUACUUUGAAAAAAUUAGAGUGUUUAAAGCAGGCAAGCGCUUGAAUACAUUAGCAUGGAAUAAUGAAAUAGGACGUUUGAUCCUAUUUUGUUGGUUUCUAGGAUUGACGUAAUGAUUAAUAGGGAUAGUUGGGGGCAUUAGUAUUCAAUUGUCAGAGGUGAAAUUCUUGGAUUUAUUGAAGACUAACUACUGCGAAAGCAUUUGCCAAGGAUAUUUUCAUUAAUCAAGAACGAAAGUUAGGGGAUCGAAGACGAUCAGAUACC